This 339-nucleotide ribosomal RNA is filed under the name Hsunycteris thomasi (Thomas' nectar bat). Its description in RNAcentral is "partial 12S ribosomal RNA". It matches the Rfam family "Bacterial small subunit ribosomal RNA", at positions 601 to 990 of the family's 1533-position model. Lineage: Eukaryota; Metazoa; Chordata; Mammalia; Chiroptera; Phyllostomidae. The record is from RNAcentral.
AACCCUAAUCAAUAGACUUACGGCGUAAAACGUGUUUAGGAACAUUAAUAUAAUAAAGCCAAACUUUAGCUAUGCUGUAAAAAGCCCUAGCUACUGUAAGCCCCACUACGAAAGUGACUUUAAAUAAACUGAAUACACGACAACUAAGAUCCAAACUGGGAUUAGAUACCCCACUAUGCUUAGUCUUAAACCUAAAGGAUUAAAUAACAAAAUCCUUCGCCAGAGUACUACAAGCUAAAGCUUAAAACUCAAAGGACUUGGCGGUGCUUUAUAUCCUCCUAGAGGAGCCUGUUCUGUAAUCGAUAAACCCCGAUAAACCUCACCAGUCCUUGCCAAACU